AAGCCGACGAUCAUCACCAACGCCGAGGGCCAACGGACGACGCCGUCGGUCGUCGCCUACACGAAGAACGGGGAUCGGCUCGUUGGACAGAUCGCCAAGCGCCAGGCCGUGGUCAACCCUGAGAACACCUUCUUCUCAGUCAAGCGGUUCAUCGGCCGCAAGAUGGCUGAGGUCUCUAAUGAGUCCAAGCAGGUGUCGUAUUCGGUCGUGCGGGACGAGAACGGGAAUGUGAAGCUGGAUUGUCCGGCGAUUGGGAAGCAGUUCGCUGCGGAAGAAAUCUCCGCACAGGUUUUGAGGAAGCUUGUUGACGAUGCUUCGAGGUUUCUGAAUGAUAAGGUUACUAAAGCGGUGGUUACGGUUCCUGCCUAUUUCAAUGACUCGCAGAGGACUGCGACAAAGGAUGCUGGACGGAUUGCUGGUUUAGAAGUUCUUCGCAUUAUCAAUGAACCUACUGCGGCUUCAUUGGCUUAUGGAUUUGAG
This 480-nucleotide unclassified non-coding RNA is filed under the name Hevea brasiliensis (rubber tree). The record is from RNAcentral. Lineage: Eukaryota; Viridiplantae; Streptophyta; Magnoliopsida; Malpighiales; Euphorbiaceae.